RNA transcript from Nicotiana attenuata, 2523 nucleotides. RefSeq lists it as uncharacterized. The record is from RefSeq and is a predicted model, not a curated record. NCBI's taxonomy places the organism in Eukaryota, Viridiplantae, Streptophyta, Magnoliopsida, Solanales, Solanaceae. The transcript has 3 exons.
GACGCAGCAAAACCAAAAGCUACGAAUAACUUGAAAAAGCUACGCAGGGAGAGACCUUUGGUGCACAAUGAGGGUUUGACUAAGGUUGACCAAUUUACUAUUUGGUCCCGGGUAGUAUUUAUUUUGUUUUACACCCACCCUACGCACAAUUUCUCUCUCCCCGUACCCUACGCACAAGUCUGUAAAAAACAAAAUAAUUCCACCACUGCUUCUUUUAUCUGGUCACAAAUUCUGGUGAAAGCUCGAAUCAGAUGGCUUCAAAGCAAAAAUGUUCGAGUGAUGGCAAUAAGGGUGAUGGAGGAUUGAGACGGGCACCUUCAAGAGAAGGCCAUGGCAAGAAAAUGUCUGAGGUUCGGGACUCACCAUUCCCCAUGAUGAUCCAAGUAGAUGCUUCACGCUCUACGUCCUCUGCUCCACAAAAGCAAACUAAAAGAAAGGAUGUACCAACAGUUGCACCAUCCACAAAGAAGAAAGCUAGAGGCAAUGGCAAAUCUUCUAAACCUGCUUCACACUCACGGGAAGCUCCUCUUCCACAUAUGGCCCCACCUCCUUCAGUAUCUCAAGAGGUAAUUGUAGACCAACCAGUUGUGCAAGAAGUCGAGGACACAAUGAGACUUCUUCCGGCUGAACCACUGGUACCCACCCCCUACCAAAAGAAAGAUCAUUUGCUGAUGAUCAUGGAGUCUACAAAUCGAUAGAUAUGGAAAAGAAUCUCCCUGAGUUUUACCAUGAGUUGGUUAGGAGAAAUUGGAUGAUCCUCACUGGCUCAUGGGCCAGAAAUGAGACGCUUUUGCGUGAAUUCUUUGCUCAAGUUGGUGCACUAAGCAAAGAGGAACAAGACUCAUUGUCUGGGGUGACUAUUAGAGAUACGUGGGUACCAUUGAAUGCGCAUGCAUUCGAUGAUUUGCUUGGGUUGACCGCACAAGAUAACGGUCGAGUGGCGAGUGCAUUACGUAAUAGAGAGGCUAAUAGGACUUGGGCGGUAAACACUGUAAAGAUGGAAAAUUCAAAUCCAACAUGGGCACAUAAAGGUAAAAUUUACAAGACUGGGUUUAAUGCUACAGCCGUGGCUUGGAAUAUCUUUGUGGCCAACAGAUUAAUGCCAUCAAAGAACUAUGCUGAGGCUUCUGAAACGCAAACCAUUCUCAUUGCAGCUAUCAUGUCCAAAUGGCCAGUUGAUGUGGGUGAAAUAGUAAUGGAGCUGAGGGAGAAAUUCUCAAUGAGCACAAGCGCUAUGCCAUUUCCUGGAUUCCUAACUAGUCUCUUCGAGAAGUAUAAAGUACCAGCUCUUCCUUCUGAUCGCAUUUUGCCACGCGCCACUCCAACCAAAAUCUUCCAACACAUAACUUCUGAUCAAUUGUCCAAGAUGCAGAAAAGUGAUCCGGCCACCUCAUCAUCCAGACCAUCACCUAUUGCUCCUUUGCCUAAUGUUCGCAGUGCCUCCACUACAUCUUUUGCUGCUUCUGAUGCCACUACCAAUGUAGCUGCACUUCCUGCCAGUACAGCGCCUCCAACCACUUUUGAGGCACCUUCUUCAUCCACCAGUACACCCGUAGUGCUAAGUGACGAUGUGAAACAAUUGUUAGCAGCUAUGGGCUCAAUGAUUGUUGACACAAAUGAGAGGUUGCGAGCCAUGACUCAUCCAUCCGAUGCCCCUUUUCCACAAGAGUUACAAAGUGUCAAACCUCCCAAGCAGACAAUAAUUAUGGCACCAAUGGAGAACAUGCUUAUGGGUUUUGCAAAGUUGUACAGGGCAAAAUCAUCAAAAGAAAGAGAAGCAGCUGAGGCUAAAACAAAGAGAGGGAAGAGAAGGACAAGAUCAGGCAAGCCAUGCUUGAUACACUUCAGUCUUUGAACAGUAAAGUUUUGUCCAUAGAGAGUAUAGUCCAGGAUAUGGAUAAGAGGCUCAAGAAGUUGGAGAGUUGCAGUGUGGGUCCGUCUGGACUACAAGAUGACUCCCAAAUUUGUGGGGAUGACGCCCGAGAUGCAGCUUUGAGCAAGGAUGACAGAGUGGAGAGUGAGCCGCUUAUUGAUGAGCACACAGUUGCUCCCGCUCACUCUCCCACGAGAGUGGUUAAGACACCACAUGCAGGAGAGCUUUAGCGUCGAGGAGCUUAAGAUUGAGGGAGUAAUGAAGCUUUGAGUACGCUUAAAGAAACGAAAGAAAUAAAAAAUAUCAAGAAAAGACCAAGUCCAAGUGAAAAAUGGAAAAGUUGAAGUUUGAGCUGAAGACCCUGCGUAGGCUACGUAGAGGAAAAACCUGAGAAGUAAAGCUCUUAGGACAUUCUGUUUUUGCCUACACCAACUUGCGUAGGCUACACAUAUAUCCUACGCACAAGGAAAAAGCUGUAGUGUUUAAACAUACGCAAUUAGCUACGCAAUUAGCUACGCAAUUGACCGAAUGGCAAUUUUAUCCAGUCGUGGGACUUGGUAUAAAUAGCUAUUUUAAGUCAUUCUAGGGUAUCAUUUUGGCAAGAAUAUUUUGUGUAGAAGCUUUUGGGAUUUUGGGUGACUUCGCCAUUU